This 536-nucleotide ribosomal RNA is filed under the name uncultured bacterium. Its description in RNAcentral is "bacterial SSU rRNA". It matches the Rfam family "Archaeal small subunit ribosomal RNA", at positions 725 to 1257 of the family's 1478-position model. The record is from RNAcentral.
AGUGAAUAGAUACCCGGGUAGUCCCAGCUGUAAACGAUGCGCGUUAGGUGUAUCGGUGACCACGAGUCACCGAGGUGCCGAAAGGGAAACCGUGAAACGUGCCGCCUGGGAAGUACGGUCGCAAGGCUGAAACUUAAAGGAAUUGGCGGGGGAGCACCACAACAGGUGGAGCCUGCGGUUUAAAUCGGACUCAACGCCGGGAAGCUCACCGGAUAAGACAGCUGAAUGAUAGCCGGGUUGAAGACUCUGCUUGACUAGCUGAGAGGAGGUGCAUGGCCGUCGUCAGUUCGUACUGUGAAGCAUCCUGUUAAGUCAGGCAACGAGCGAGACCCACGCCAACAGUUGCCAGCAUGUCCUCCGGGAUGGUGGGGACACUGUUGGGACCGCCUCUGCUAAAGAGGAGGAAGGAAUGGGCAACGGUAGGUCAGCAUGCCCCGAAUUAUCCGGGCUACACGCGGGCUACAAUGGUCAGGACAAUGGGUAUCAACACCGAAAGGUGAAGGCAAUCUCCUAAACCUGUCCUUAGUUCGGAUUGU